AUUGAACGCUGGCGGCAUGCCUUACACAUGCAAGUCGAACGGCAGCACGGGACCUUGCUCCUGGUGGCGAGUGGCGAACGGGUGAGUAAUACAUCGGAACGUACCCUGAAGUGGGGGGAUAACGUAGCGAAAGUUACGCUAAUACCGCAUAUUCUGUGAGCAGGAAAGAGGGGGAUCGCAGACCUCUUGCUUUAGGAGCGGCCGAUGUCGGAUUAGCUAGUUGGUGAGGUAAAGGCUCACCAAGGCGACGAUCCGUAGCGGGUCUGAGAGGAUGAUCCGCCACACUGGGACUGAGACACGGCCCCAGACUCCUACGGGAGGCAGGCAGUGGGGAAUUUUGGGACAAUGGGCGCAAGCCUGAUCCAGCCUAAUGCCGCGUGAGUGAAGAAGGCCUGGUGUAAGCUCGUUCUAGCCGGAA
RNAcentral lists this ribosomal RNA (418 nucleotides) under uncultured bacterium. RNAcentral describes it as "bacterial SSU rRNA". It matches the Rfam family "Bacterial small subunit ribosomal RNA", at positions 30 to 446 of the family's 1533-position model. The record is from RNAcentral.